Molecule: ribosomal RNA, 1409 nt
Filed under: Streptococcus sp.
Lineage: Bacteria; Bacillati; Bacillota; Bacilli; Lactobacillales; Streptococcaceae
Description: bacterial SSU rRNA
Rfam family: Bacterial small subunit ribosomal RNA
Source: RNAcentral
AGUAGAACGCUGAAGAGAGGAGCUUGCUCUUCUUGGAUGAGUUGCGAACGGGUGAGUAACGCGUAGGUAACCUGCCUUGUAGCGGGGGAUAACUAUUGGAAACGAUAGCUAAUACCGCAUAACAAUGGAUGACACAUGUCAUUUAUUUGAAAGGGGCAAUUGCUCCACUACAAGAUGGACCUGCGUUGUAUUAGCUAGUAGGUGAGGUAACGGCUCACCUAGGCGACGAUACAUAGCCGACCUGAGAGGGUGAUCGGCCACACUGGGACUGAGACACGGCCCAGACUCCUACGGGAGGCAGCAGUAGGGAAUCUUCGGCAAUGGGGGCAACCCUGACCGAGCAACGCCGCGUGAGUGAAGAAGGUUUUCGGAUCGUAAAGCUCUGUUGUAAGUCAAGAACGAGUGUGAGAGUGGAAAGUUCACACUGUGACGGUAGCUUACCAGAAAGGGACGGCUAACUACGUGCCAGCAGCCGCGGUAAUACGUAGGUCCCGAGCGUUGUCCGGAUUUAUUGGGCGUAAAGCGAGCGCAGGCGGUUUGAUAAGUCUGAAGUUAAAGGCUGUGGCUCAACCAUAGUUCGCUUUGGAAACUGUCAAACUUGAGUGCAGAAGGGGAGAGUGGAAUUCCAUGUGUAGCGGUGAAAUGCGUAGAUAUAUGGAGGAACACCGGUGGCGAAAGCGGCUCUCUGGUCUGUAACUGACGCUGAGGCUCGAAAGCGUGGGGAGCGAACAGGAUUAGAUACCCUGGUAGUCCACGCCGUAAACGAUGAGUGCUAGGUGUUGGAUCCUUUCCGGGAUUCAGUGCCGCAGCUAACGCAUUAAGCACUCCGCCUGGGGAGUACGACCGCAAGGUUGAAACUCAAAGGAAUUGACGGGGGCCCGCACAAGCGGUGGAGCAUGUGGUUUAAUUCGAAGCAACGCGAAGAACCUUACCAGGUCUUGACAUCCCGAUGCUAUUUCUAGAGAUAGAAAGUUACUUCGGUACAUCGGUGACAGGUGGUGCAUGGUUGUCGUCAGCUCGUGUCGUGAGAUGUUGGGUUAAGUCCCGCAACGAGCGCAACCCCUAUUGUUAGUUGCCAUCAUUCAGUUGGGCACUCUAGCGAGACUGCCGGUAAUAAACCGGAGGAAGGUGGGGAUGACGUCAAAUCAUCAUGCCCCUUAUGACCUGGGCUACACACGUGCUACAAUGGUUGGUACAACGAGUUGCGAGUCGGUGACGGCAAGCUAAUCUCUUAAAGCCAAUCUCAGUUCGGAUUGUAGGCUGCAACUCGCCUACAUGAAGUCGGAAUCGCUAGUAAUCGCGGAUCAGCACGCCGCGGUGAAUACGUUCCCGGGCCUUGUACACACCGCCCGUCACACCACGAGAGUUUGUAACACCCGAAGUCGGUGAGGUAACCUUUUGGAGCCAGC